UCGUGAAUAUACAGCUAAAACAAGGAUUAUUUGGUCAAAACACGCGUGCAUAUGGCAACAGGACAUAUACAGCAGAAGUACAGAAAAAAGCAGACAAGAAUUCAACUUUGAACAUCGUGCAUCUUUGAAGUCUCUUUAAAAUUGACCAAAUUCCUUGUUUGUUUCCGCUGUUUUCGAGUAGAUCGUUUCGAUCUGAUCAUCAAAGAGAAAGUAGUCGGUGUUUUAAACAAAUACCAAUCGAUCGUGAUCGCCCGGCAUGAAAAUAAGAACGACGCGAUCGGCAGCUGCGCGCGGGGGAUAAUCCGAGAAAGCUGCAACAGGACUCCGGGUAUCCUCGGUCUUCCUUCUCAAGGAGGCCAAUCUAACUCCGAAAACGUCGGCCCGAAAACCGAGAACAGCGAACGCAUAUUUGACCCUGAAGACAUGCAACACGCUCGUAGCCUUUCCGUCGCGUUCUUAGCCGCUUAAGUCGCGCGUUUUAUCCUCUCCGAUUACAAAGUCAGAAACGGCUAUCGCUCUCUCCCUUUUCUCUGCUUCUUAUACCACGGGCAAUCCAGCUUCCCCGGUGGUAGUGACUUGUUAAUUUGUUUGCCAUCACGUUUAUUACAACUGCGUUCUACGUCGUGCACGCACAUCUGCGAUAUGGCCGGACAAUGAAACGUGUAUUGUUUCCUGCCUGCCGGAUGUCGCCGUUCACAUGUCUCGGAUUAAGGGAUGCUAAUCGGAAAUCGAAAGAAGUUGUCAUUCAUAUGGGAGUUCCGGCAGAAAAGGAAGGAACAUGCGUGUGGUCGUGUCGAAUAGCCGUUCUCCUGCGAUAAUCUAACGGAUAUGAACAAUUAUAACGAAAUAUUCGAACACACCUGGCGAUGCAUGAUGGAAAGUGAUCUCGGUCGACCUCGCUCAAGUCAGAAGCACCACAAAUGAAGCUGACUAUCGUACCGACUACAAUUACAAUCAGGACGCCCA
Molecule: long non-coding RNA, 966 nt
Organism: Camponotus floridanus (Florida carpenter ant)
Lineage: Eukaryota; Metazoa; Arthropoda; Insecta; Hymenoptera; Formicidae
Exons: 4
Source: RefSeq, a predicted model, not a curated record